AGAGUUUGAUCCUGGCUCAGAUUGAACGCUGGCGGCAUGCCUAACACAUGCAAGUCGAACGGCAGCGCGGGGGCAACCCUGGCGGCGAGUGGCGGACGGGUGAGGAAUACAUAGGAAUCUACCCUGUCGUGGGGGAUAACGUAGGGAAACUUACGCUAAUACCGCAUACGACCGAGAGGUGAAAGCGGCGGACCGCAAGGCGUCGCGCGGCUGGAUGAGCCUAUGUCCGAUUAGCUAGUUGGCGGGGUAAGAGCCCACCAAGGCGACGAUCGGUAGCUGGUCUGAGAGGAUGAUCAGCCACACUGGAACUGAGAUACGGUCCAGACUCCUACGGGAGGCAGCAGUGGGGAAUAUUGGACAAUGGGCGCAAGCCUGAUCCAGCAAUGCCGCGUGGGUGAAGAAGGCCUUCGGGUUGUAAAGCCCUUUUGUACGGGAAGAAAAGCACUCGGUUAAUACCCGGGUGUGAUGACGGUACCGUAAGAAUAAGCACCGGCUAACUUCGUGCCAGCAGCCGCGGUAAUACGAAGGGUGCAAGCGUUAAUCGGAAUUACUGGGCGUAAAGCGUGCGUAGGCGGUUGGUUAAGUCUGUCGUGAAAGCCCUGGGCUCAACCUGGGAAUGGCGAUGGAAACUGGCCAGCUAGAGUGUGAUAGAGGAUGGCGGAAUUCCCGGUGUAGCGGUGAAAUGCGUAGAGAUCGGGAGGAACAUCCGUGGCGAAGGCGGCCAUCUGGAUCAACACUGACGCUGAGGCACGAAAGCGUGGGGAGCAAACAGGAUUAGAUACCCUGGUAGUCC
Molecule: ribosomal RNA, 793 nt
Filed under: uncultured bacterium
Lineage: Bacteria
Description: bacterial SSU rRNA
Rfam family: Bacterial small subunit ribosomal RNA
Source: RNAcentral